CAGCCUGAAAUGAUGCUGUGAAUUCAUGUCUCUUCUCUGAAGUGUAUGGUGGAGACAACUAGAUGAAUUUCUGAUCAGGCUU
This is a small nucleolar RNA of Gallus gallus (chicken), 82 nucleotides long. Ensembl annotates it as small nucleolar RNA, C/D box 111B. Lineage: Eukaryota; Metazoa; Chordata; Aves; Galliformes; Phasianidae. The record is from Ensembl.